Molecule: ribosomal RNA, 253 nt
Filed under: uncultured bacterium
Lineage: Bacteria
Description: partial 16S ribosomal RNA
Rfam family: Bacterial small subunit ribosomal RNA
Source: RNAcentral
UACAGAGGUGGCAAGCGUUGUUCGGAAUUACUGGGCGUAAAGGGCGCGUAGGCGGUCAGGUCAGUCCCGUGUGAAAUCCCUCGGCUCAACUGAGGAACUGCACGGGAAACUGCCUGGCUUGAGUUCGGGAGAGGGAAGCGGAAUUCCGGGUGUAGCGGUGAAAUGCGUAGAUAUCCGGAGGAACACCGAUGGCGAAGGCAGCCUCCUGGGCCAGCACUGACGCUCAUGCACGAAAGCGUGGGGAGCAAACAGG